UAAAACGUCACCGACAUGUCAUGCAACCGAACUGUCAGAACAUGUUUACAUUCUGAUUCUUCAGUUCGGUCGGCAAGUUUUUAUAUCCGCGCGAGUGUUUCGGCGUGUUUAUGCGGUUUUUGGACAAAAUUUACGCUCAUUCAAGGCUGUGGCGGGUGAUGUUUUGCUGCCAGUUCGCAGUCUUCGCGCGGAAGACUGGACUGCAGAAAAAUCCCCUGAAAUCCCGGGAUUGACCGUGUUCUCCAUCUUGGCGAAGCAAGAGGAAACAGGUUUGGCACUUUGGCCGUCGGUCAGCCCCCUCACUGCCGCUCUACGGACUCGGCGCUCGGACGAAGGACAUUACAGAUGACUCCUUCGUCGUCCACCGAACCGCCAGCGCAGCUAUGGACUGCCAACAUAGAAGGUAUUCAUUGCCAACAAACUUCUUCCGCGGAUGUGCGCCGGGUCAUCUGGUUGGACCAGCAGGAUGUUCCGAGGGUAAAGAGAUCAUCCCUCACCAACACCUGUGGCCAAUCAACCAUCAGUCGACGACACCACCUAGAAUUAGAAUGUGUCGAAUGUUACCUGGGAAAACUUAAAU
This is a long non-coding RNA of Culex quinquefasciatus (southern house mosquito), 580 nucleotides long. RefSeq lists it as uncharacterized. The transcript has 4 exons. The record is from RefSeq and is a predicted model, not a curated record. NCBI's taxonomy places the organism in Eukaryota, Metazoa, Arthropoda, Insecta, Diptera, Culicidae.